GGGGAAUAUUGGACAAUGGGCGGAAGCCUGAUCCAGCCAUGCCGCGUGUGUGAAGAAGGCCUUUUGGUUGUAAAGCACUUUAAGCGAGGAGGAGGCUACUGGUACUAAUACUACUGGAUAGUGGACGUUACUCGCAGAAUAAGCACCGGCUAACUCUGUGCCAGCAGCCGCGGUAAUACAGAGGGUGCGAGCGUUAAUCGGAUUUACUGGGCGUAAAGCGUGCGUAGGCGGCUGAUUAAGUCGGAUGUGAAAUCCCUGAGCUUAACUUAGGAAUUGCAUUCGAUACUGGUCAGCUAGAGUAUGGGAGAGGAUGGUAGAAUUCCAGGUGUAGCGGUGAAAUGCGUAGAGAUCUGGAGGAAUACCGAUGGCGAAGGCAGCCAUCUGGCCUAAUACUGACGCUGAGGUACGAAAGCAUGGGGAGCAAAC
This 426-nucleotide ribosomal RNA is filed under the name uncultured bacterium. RNAcentral describes it as "bacterial SSU rRNA". It matches the Rfam family "Bacterial small subunit ribosomal RNA", at positions 356 to 773 of the family's 1533-position model. The record is from RNAcentral.